GCUGGCGUGGCGCAAUGGAAGCGCAGCUGAUUUGUAAUCAGCUGGUUGGAGGUUCGAAUCCUCUCGCCAGCUCCA
RNAcentral lists this transfer RNA (75 nucleotides) under Candidatus Omnitrophota bacterium. Its description in RNAcentral is "Candidatus Omnitrophica bacterium tRNA-Thr". It matches the Rfam family "tRNA". From Rfam's summary of the family: Transfer RNA (tRNA) molecules are approximately 80 nucleotides in length. Their secondary structure includes four short double-helical elements and three loops (D, anti-codon, and T loops). Further hydrogen bonds mediate the characteristic L-shaped molecular structure. tRNAs have two regions of fundamental functional importance: the anti-codon, which is responsible for specific mRNA codon recognition, and the 3' end, to which the tRNAs corresponding amino acid is attached (by aminoacyl-tRNA synthetases). tRNAs cope with the degeneracy of the genetic code in two manners: having more than one tRNA (with a specific anti-codon) for a particular amino acid; and 'wobble' base-pairing, i.e. permitting non-standard base-pairing at the 3rd anti-codon position. RNAcentral also lists the same sequence under 1 other name. The record is from RNAcentral. Lineage: Bacteria; Pseudomonadati; Candidatus Omnitrophota.